GUCCACGCCGUAAACUAUGGAUGCUAGCUGUACACCGUAUCGACCCGGUGUGUAGCGAAGCUAACGCGUUAAGCAUCCCGCCUGUGGAGUACGAGCGCAAGCUUAAAACAUAAAGGAAUUGACGGGGACCCCGCACAAGCGGUGGAGCGUGUUGUUUAAUUCGAUGGUAAGCGAAGAACCUUACCAAGGCUUGAAAUCCUGCGAAGUUCUGCGAAAGCAGAGUGUGCCUUCGGGAACGCAGUGACAGGUGUUGCAUGGCCGUCGU
Molecule: ribosomal RNA, 265 nt
Filed under: uncultured bacterium
Lineage: Bacteria
Description: partial 16S ribosomal RNA
Rfam family: Bacterial small subunit ribosomal RNA
Source: RNAcentral